UUGGAGGGCAAGUCUGGUGCCAGCAGCCGCGGUAAUUCCAGCUCCAAUAGCGUAUAUUAAAGUUGUUGCAGUUAAAAAGCUCGUAGUUGAAUUUCGGAAUCUGUCCGUCGGUCGGGCUUCACUGUCCGUACUGGUGUGAUGGGUUUCUACCUUCUGAAUAAUCGGCAUGUCAUUAAUUUGGUGCGCCGGGGAAGCAGAACUAUUACCUUGAAAAAAUUAGAGUGCUUAAAGCAGGCUAUCGCCUGAAUAGAUUAGCAUGGAAUAAUAAAAUAGGACGGCAUGGUUCUAUUUUGUUGGUUUCUAGGAUCACCGUAAUGAUUAAUAGGGAUAGUUGGGGGCAUUAGUAUUCAAUUGUCAGAGGUGAAAUUCUUGGAUUUAUUGAAGACUAACUUCUGCGAAAGCAUUUGCCAAGGAUGUUUUCAUUAAUCAAGAACGAAAGUUAGGGGAUCGAAGACGAUCAGAUACCGUCGUAGUCUUAACCAUAAACUAUGCCGACUAGGGAUCGGACGAUGUUAAUUUUUUAAUGACUCGUUCGGCGCCUUACGGGAAAC
RNAcentral lists this ribosomal RNA (551 nucleotides) under uncultured Acaulospora. Its description in RNAcentral is "SSU rRNA". It matches the Rfam family "Eukaryotic small subunit ribosomal RNA", at positions 548 to 1098 of the family's 1831-position model. The record is from RNAcentral. Lineage: Eukaryota; Fungi; Glomeromycota; Glomeromycetes; Diversisporales; Acaulosporaceae.